Molecule: non-coding RNA, 22 nt
Filed under: Arabidopsis thaliana (thale cress)
Lineage: Eukaryota; Viridiplantae; Streptophyta; Magnoliopsida; Brassicales; Brassicaceae
Source: RNAcentral
CCCGAACCCGAACCCGAACCCG